CCAAGGAGAGCGCGAAUGAAUAACAGCAGCGCUUCGGAGGAGCUGGAGAACUGGGACUCGCACCCAACGGGGCUGCCGUGGGACCAAACGAACCCUAUCGGCACUGGCCGGUUUGACUCCGCGCAGGUGCCAUCUGGUGCCAGCUUCACCCGCUUUGUCGUAAUAACACGCUUUCAAUUAUUUUUUUUCUCGGCCUCGAUGUUUGAAGCCAACCGAAAGAACUACACGUCAUCAGUUGGUCCGGAAGGUCGGUGGGCUGGAGGACAACAAAAGAGACAGGAGGGCCUCUUUUCCAGUUCCUCUGACGCACCGUUUCUCGCUGUGGCAUGAUGCCUCCAGCAAAUACACACACGCCCACAGUGAAAAGCAUGAAUAAUCAUCUGCAUUCCAACUGUGCCCAGAAAGCAGCCAAUUCUGCUCCGAGUAACAAGAUGGUGUGGCAUUUCGGCAUCGGUUUUCAGCCGUCCUUGCUAAUGUCAGCUGAUUUAAGAAUGCAGACAGCUGUCAUCCAUCAAUAAAGUGCUUACAUGUCUGAAUUUUGUUCUUUUGACAGGAAACUGUCACAUUAAUCCUUGCGUGCUGCGUGAGCUGUGAUAUGAAGUAUUUAGUCAGUACACCCCACCCAAAACGGUUUAUAAUGUCAAUGUAACUGUG
This is a long non-coding RNA of Scleropages formosus (Asian bonytongue), 654 nucleotides long. RefSeq lists it as uncharacterized. The transcript has 3 exons. The record is from RefSeq and is a predicted model, not a curated record. NCBI's taxonomy places the organism in Eukaryota, Metazoa, Chordata, Actinopteri, Osteoglossiformes, Osteoglossidae.